This 552-nucleotide ribosomal RNA is filed under the name uncultured fungus. RNAcentral describes it as "eukaryotic LSU rRNA". The stretch from base 193 to 347 matches the Rfam family "5.8S ribosomal RNA". Lineage: Eukaryota; Fungi. The record is from RNAcentral.
AAGUCGUAACAAGGUCUCCGUAGGUGAACCUGCGGAGGAUCAUUACCAGAGAUGGGCGCCUCCGCGCCCACCUCCAACCCUUUGUCGUAUCAUACCUUUGUUGCCUCGGGGGCACCGAGCCUCGCGCGGGCCCCGGUGGACCAUCAAACUCCUGCAUCCGUACGUCGGAGUACUGACAAGCAAAUGAAUCAAAACUUUCAACAACGGAUCUCUUGGUUCUGGCAUCGAUGAAGAACGCAGCGAAAUGCGAUAAGUAAUGUGAAUUGCAGAAUUCAGUGAAUCAUCGAAUCUUUGAACGCACAUUGCGCCCUUUGGCAUUCCGAGGGGCAUGCCCGUUCGAAGCGUCAUUAAAACCCCUCAAGCCUAGCUUGGUGUUGGGUGUCGGGCCCCCCCCGCACCUCUAUAUCGCCGGCUGGCCGUCGUCUGACUUAGCGUUGUGACACCAUGUCGCUGAUGCCAGACGCGGACUGCGCCGUUAGAACUCUCUUGAAUGUCCCCGGACGUUCAGUACAGGUUGACCUCGGAUCGGGUAGGAAUACCCGCUGAACUUAA